This 431-nucleotide ribosomal RNA is filed under the name uncultured bacterium. Its description in RNAcentral is "bacterial SSU rRNA". It matches the Rfam family "Bacterial small subunit ribosomal RNA", at positions 29 to 507 of the family's 1533-position model. The record is from RNAcentral.
AACGAACGCUGGCGGCAGGCCUAACACAUGCAAGUCGAGCGCACCUUCGGGUGAGCGGCGGACGGGUUAGUAACGCGUGGGAACGUGCCCUUCUCUACGGAAUAGCCUCUGGAAACGGAGAGUAAUACCGUAUACGCCCUUUGGGGGAAAGAUUUAUCGGAGAAGGAUCGGCCCGCGUUAGAUUAGGUAGUUGGUGGGGUAACGGCCUACCAAGCCUACGAUCUAUAGCUGGUUUUAGAGGAUGAUCAGCAACACUGGGACUGAGACACGGCCCAGACUCCUACGGGAGGCAGCAGUGGGGAAUCUUAGACAAUGGGGGCAACCCUGAUCUAGCCAUGCCGCGUGAGUGAUGAAGGCCUUAGGGUCGUAAAGCUCUUUCGCCUGUGAUGAUAAUGACAGUAGCAGGUAAGGAAACCCCGGCUAACUCCGUG